This 699-nucleotide ribosomal RNA is filed under the name uncultured bacterium. RNAcentral's name for it is "bacterial SSU rRNA". It matches the Rfam family "Bacterial small subunit ribosomal RNA", at positions 8 to 739 of the family's 1533-position model. The record is from RNAcentral.
AGAGUUUGAUCCUGGCUCAGAACGAACGCUGGCGGCAGGCUUAACACAUGCAAGUCGAGCGCCCUGCUUGCAGGGAGCGGCAGACGGGUGAGUAACGCGUGGGAACCUACCUGGUGGUAUGGAAUAACGCAGGGAAACUUGUGCUAAUACCGUAUAAGCCCCCCUUUGGAGACAUUGGGGGGGAAAGAUUUAUCGCCAUCAGAUGGGCCCGCGUUGGAUUAGCUAGUUGGUGAGGUAACGGCUCACCAAGGCGACGAUCCAUAGCUGGUCUGAGAGGAUGAUCAGCCACACUGGGACUGAGACACGGCCCAGACUCCUACGGGAGGCAGCAGUGGGGAAUAUUGGACAAUGGGCGCAAGCCUGAUCCAGCCAUGCCGCGUGAGUGAAGAAGGCCUUAGGGUUGUAAAGCUCUUUCACCGAUGAAGAUAAUGACUGUAGUCGGAGAAGAAGCCCCGGCUAACUUCGUGCCAGCAGCCGCGGUAAUACGAAGGGGGCUAGCGUUGUUCGGAAUUACUGGGCGUAAAGCGCGCGUAGGCGGAUACUUAAGUCAGUGGUGAAAUCCCGAGGCUCAACCUCGGAACUGCCUUUGAUACUGGGUAUCUUGAGAUCGAGAGAGGUAAGUGGAAUUCCGAGUGUAGAGGUGAAAUUCGUAGAUAUUCGGAGGAACACCAGAGGCGAAGGCGGCUUACUGGCUCGAUA